AGAGUUUGAUCAUGGCUCAGGACGAACGCUGGCGGCGUGCCUAAUACAUGCAAGUUGAGCGAAUCUUUGGGAGCUUGCUCCCGAAGGUUAGCGGCGGACGGGUGAGUAACACGUGGGCAACCUACCUAUAAGACUGGGAUAACUUCGGGAAACCGGAGCUAAUACCGGAUAAUUCUUUUCUACACAUGUAGAAAAGCUAAAAGACGGUUUACGCUGUCACUUAUAGAUGGGCCCGCGGCGCAUUAGCUAGUUGGUGAGGUAACGGCUCACCAAGGCCACGAUGCGUAGCCGACCUGAGAGGGUGAUCGGCCACACUGGGACUGAGACACGGCCCAGACUCCUACGGGAGGCAGCAGUAGGGAAUCUUCCGCAAUGGACGAAAGUCUGACGGAGCAACGCCGCGUGAGUGAUGAAGGUUUUCGGAUCGUAAAACUCUGUUGUUAGGGAAGAACAAGUACGAGAGUAACUGCUCGUACCUUGACGGUACCUAACCAGAAAGCCACGGCUAACUACGUGCCAGCAGCCGCGGUAAUACGUAGGUGGCAAGCGUUGUCCGGAAUUAUUGGGCGUAAAGCGCGCGCAGGCGGUCCUUUAAGUCUGAUGUGAAAGCCCACGGCUCAACCGUGGAGGGUCAUUGGAAACUGGGGGACUUGAGUGCAGGAGAGAAGAGGAAUUCCACGUGUAGCGGUGAAAUGCGUAGAGAUGUGGAGGAACACCAGUGGCGAAGGCGACUCUUUGGCCUGUAACUGACGCUGAGGCGCGAAAGCGUGGGGAGCAAACAGGAUUAGAUACCCUAGUAGUCC
RNAcentral lists this ribosomal RNA (803 nucleotides) under uncultured bacterium. RNAcentral's name for it is "bacterial SSU rRNA". It matches the Rfam family "Bacterial small subunit ribosomal RNA", at positions 8 to 796 of the family's 1533-position model. The record is from RNAcentral.